GUCACGCCGUAAACGAUGGAUGCUAGUUGUCAGGCAGCAUGCUGUUUGGUGACGCAGCUAACGCAUUAAGCAUCCCGCCUGGGGAGUACGGCCGCAAGGUUAAAACUCAAAGAAAUUGACGGGGGCCCGCACAAGCGGUGGAGCAUGUGGUUUAAUUCGAAGCAACGCGCAGAACCUUACCUACCCUUGACAUACCAAUCGCGGAUUACAGAGAUGUUUUCCUUCAGUUAGGCUGGAUUGGAU
This 243-nucleotide ribosomal RNA is filed under the name uncultured bacterium. RNAcentral's name for it is "partial 16S ribosomal RNA". It matches the Rfam family "Bacterial small subunit ribosomal RNA", at positions 794 to 1033 of the family's 1533-position model. The record is from RNAcentral.